UACGUAGGGUGCGAGCGUUAAUCGGAAUCACUGGGCGUAAAGGGCGCGUAGGCGGCCUGAUAAGUAGGGGGUGAAAUCCUGCGGCUUAACCGCAGGGCUGCCUUCUAAACUGUCAGGCUGGAGCACAGUAGAGGCAGGUGGAAUUCCCGGUGUAGCGGUGGAAUGCGUAGAGAUCGGGAAGAACAUCAGUGGCGAAGGCGGCCUGCUGGGCUGUUGCUGACGCUGAGGCGCGACAGCGUGGGGAGCAAACAGG
Molecule: ribosomal RNA, 253 nt
Filed under: uncultured bacterium
Lineage: Bacteria
Description: partial 16S ribosomal RNA
Rfam family: Bacterial small subunit ribosomal RNA
Source: RNAcentral